UGUAUAUAUGUUUAUAAUCAGCCUCUCAUAUGUGUAUUUAUAUAUAGUCAAAACUAUUAGAUUUUAUGUUCAUUGUCCAAAGUGACGCGGGUGAAUGGUCCUGAAAACAGUCAAAAAUACCAAGUAAUCUAAUCUUUGCAAAUUCCUCCCAGUCCUUCAGUUUGAAAUAACUAACUCAAGCAAAGAAAUUGAACCAGAUUCCAACAACGAUGAAUCGGUGGAGAUGCGUUUUUAAAAACUAACAAUCAAUCUCCUAUGAUACUCUGAAUUCUUUUUUUUUUUUGAGGCUGAAAGCUUUAUUGGUGAUGACAGCUGACAGACAUUCCUUACAACAUCAUGGACUUGGAAAGUGGUUCACAUAUUUUGGCACUUCAUUUUCAAGAGGAACUGGAGUAAGUUCUUGCCAACAUUCCACAAAAUUACACCUUUAAAAGGCUUUUUUGAUGUCUCCACUCUUGCUCCAAUAUUCCUGGAAAAUCCUCGAGGAACCUGAGAUCUUGCCUUCUGAGUUGGGGAGAGGAGGAGCCAGCCAGGACCCUGAAGAAGUACCCAGGUGAAGAGUAACCCAAGAGCCUCCUGGAAGUGUGUGCAGGGAGUCAGCGGCCUUCUGCAAAGAGUCUCUGCAGAAGGCCAGAUGCUCCAGAUAACAAUGGGUGUACCCUGGGGCAUGGAAGUGAUUCUUAUUGGGGCUAAGAUCAUGGGUCUGGGAACAUACCUAGAUUCAUGGUUGUCUGGAGCCAAACUGGACCAUGACCCUUCAGGGUUGUUGAUAGUGAAGAGAACCAGCACCAUGGGAAAAAAAGUAUCUCUUCAGAUCCUGACCUUCCGGGACUGAAAGAUGCCAUCACAUACAAUGUUCUGCUCUGCAAUCCAGCCAGCCUCUGAUACUGUUUUCAGGACCUAUGAGUCGACAUCUUCUAAUGCUCCUUCCAAGAGAUAAUGUCUCAAUAGAAGAACAGGAAACCACAGCUUCCAGGUCUGCCUCAGACAGUCUGUAACAUGGGAUCUGUCACUCAGCUCUGCCUCACAGUCACAUGCCCAAUUCAAGACAGCUCAGGCCUGGGGGCAGGGGCAGAAGAUGGGGGUCCCUACUUCUUGCUCAUCUCAUGGACAGCAGCACAGCCCUAGAUGCCAGACUAUAAG
RNAcentral lists this long non-coding RNA (1143 nucleotides) under Phascolarctos cinereus (koala). Its description in RNAcentral is "lncRNA (ENSPCIG00000007689.2)". The record is from RNAcentral. Lineage: Eukaryota; Metazoa; Chordata; Mammalia; Diprotodontia; Phascolarctidae.